AUGUUUGUUUUUCAAGUGGAGACCAAGGUGGAGGACAGGCAACCAACAGCCAGCCAGGAAACUGAGCAGCCCUCAGUGCCCGUGCACACAGGUGAAGAGGAGCAGGGCUCCAUGGCAGAGGUGUCCUACUACUCCUAUGAAUACGACCCAGAUUCUCAUCCUUUCCUUGCUGAUGCAGAGGCAGGGGACCAUUUCUACCUUCCUGAAGGAGGGGCGGACGUAGAGCAGAAGGUGCUCCUGCCAGCAGACACCCAGCUACCCACACUGGACACAAAAAACACCCCAGAGCGAUGAAGCCUUCACAGAGUGAAACCAUCCCCACCUCCAAAUUGUACAUUAUUUGUGAAUAUGCUAGUGAAUGGAAAGAGAAGAGAGACUUGGGACUUGCUCAGCCUGGAGGGAAGAGACGGCGGCCUGGAGAACGAGAGUGUGACUUUGUGUGCGUGCGUGCGUGCGUGCGUGCGUGCGUGUGUGUGUGUGUGUGUUGUCAAGUGUUUAGAUUGUUCUGAAUGGUAGAGCAGGUGCUUUUAUAUGUAUGCGUGUGUGGUUGGAUGUGACUGUGCAUGAUUGUAAUUAAGAGAGUGUCCUCCAGACUUUUAUUUUUCUUCCUCCUGACUCCUGGUCACCAAUAGGGCACCAUAGCAUCUUUGUUAUUUACUGUACCGCCUUUAUAAUCACUAGAAGAAAUAAUCAAGUAUUUAUGUUUGUAAUUACACCUGACCUUAAGCAAAAUAUUUUGUUAUAUUUUCUAUCUGUGGUAUUUAUUUGUAGCUGGAGGUCAUAUCAUCUGUUUUUGUUUUUUGCCCACACAGUCGACUUUUUUGCCCUUGUGCUUCUUUCAGUUCAAACAAGAGAUACAGUUUGUGCUAUCAAAGGCAUUUUUUGUUUUCAUAGCGAGCUUUAACCCAAUUUUUUCAAAUGUUUGAUGAAAUUCUGGUGCUGGUAUCCUGCUGGAAGAAGACAUAUGCUAACCAUAUGCUUUACAGAAUCAUAAGCUGGAAUGUUUUUGAGAUUUUGGGGCUUUUUUGCCUUAAACAGCACAUUAGAGAUUGACAGGAAACGUGAGGAGAGAGAGGCGGGGUGGGCCGACAUGCAACAAAGGCCUCUGGCCGACUCAGACUAUGGACUUUACAGUUACAGGAGAUACGUCCUUUGACCAGUGGUGCAACAGGACACACCAGGUGAAAUGUUUUUGAAACUAUGGUAUCAAGACACGAACAUCACCUCCUCUCAAGUCACCUUUCACCUUACCUACCUUGAGAUUUGAUUGUACAGUUCAUAAGCUAUUGUGUGUUUUUUUUCUUUCCUUUUGUGUUCAAUUUUGAUUUGUGAAGCAAUCAACUUAAAAAAAUCAAGAAUGAAGUUAAAAUAAAUUGGUGUAAAUGUACCAAAUUUGAUCAAGCGUAGCCCUGAUUCAUAUCAAACAUUGUGCUUUUUAAGACAAACGGGAAUAAAUUUGUAUACAAUCCAGGCCGUUUGAUUUUGUUGUAUUUACACUGUGAAUAAGAAGAAAAGACUUGAUGCCUGAACAGUAAUAUGUGUUACCUGCUGCGCUUUGUAUGACUGCAGGACUGUAGGAGUGAAAUACCUUAACCCCGACUACUUUUACCCCCACAGUGCCAUUUCUGCAGAUGCAGCACAGCACAUGUGAGUGUUCCUCUAUAGCAGAGGAGCUCCAGUGACGUUCGUGAAGGCUGCGUUGCUCCAUUUCCUUUGAGAGGCUAGUUAAGUCUGGAGAUAAUUUCCUGCCAGCAGUGAGCCGCAUUACAAUCCUGCUGCUUCAGAAGGCCCUUUGCUUUGAUAGCUGACUCCCUGACCCCUGGCAGGAUGCUAUGUCAGAGACAGAA
Long non-coding RNA from Scophthalmus maximus (turbot), 1847 nucleotides. NCBI's taxonomy places the organism in Eukaryota, Metazoa, Chordata, Actinopteri, Pleuronectiformes, Scophthalmidae. The record is from Ensembl.